Hipposideros armiger (great roundleaf bat) is the source of this 2266-nucleotide RNA transcript. RefSeq lists it as uncharacterized. The record is from RefSeq and is a predicted model, not a curated record. The transcript is spliced from 4 exons. Lineage: Eukaryota; Metazoa; Chordata; Mammalia; Chiroptera; Hipposideridae.
CCGCCCCCGGCUCCGCCUCGCGCCCCGACACCGCCAGCCGUCCCUUCCCGCGCGCACCUGCCCGGGAGCACCCAGGCUGGAGGCCGCGGUCAGGGCGACCCCUGCGGGCCGGCGGCGGGAGCCCGGCGUGCAUUCCGUGCGCUCGCGCGGGAGUGAGGACGCGUUCUCGGCUGCCUGCAGGUACCUCAGCCCGCUCGGGCCAGCUGCGGUCUCCUCAGCCCGGCUCCCUGAGGAAAACGAGAGGACCAGCUCCUCCCCCCGGACAUGCUUCCCUGCCCGCCCGCAGUGACACGGACCGUGGUACCUGAGGGAGCACCCCGGAGCCCAGAGCUCAGAACCGACUGAGAAGUAAGAAAAAGCAGUGGAGAUGGAGACCAAAUGAAGGACAGACCGGCCUGCCCCAUGGAGGCUGCCCCGUCGGUGUAUUCCCUGGAGGAGCAGGAGGGAUUCUUUCUGAGGCAGGAAGAUUCCAAAGAGGAAGGGAAGAGAGAGGGAGCUGCUGCAAUGUUCCCAAACAAGUCAGGGACAAGAUCUCUCAUUACUAGUGUUUCGGUUAACCGUCCAGUGCUGUGUGCCUGGGUGGCCAUGGAAAAUGCCAGGAGCAGAACCAGCCAGUCUCUGAGGCUCCUCCCCACUUCCCUCUGCUGACCUGUGGCCCCAGGGCCUCUUGGUGGGCAGGAGCUCUGGCCCCGCCCAUUCUUACUGGAGCAGAAGGUUCUGGGUGAUUCACACACGGAGAAGCCUGAGAGUCUGUGUUAGAAGACAGAACUCAGAGAGCUGUCAGUGCGAGUCUCAUAACGAGAUGCCGGAAGUUAGUCAUCAGAGAACAGAGCGGAAGGCUGUCCCGGUGGCCUCAGAGUCAGAGUCACGUGGUGCUAUCUCAGACGGUGACUUAGACACGAGGGACAGUGGAAGGUAGAAAAGUACAGGCUGCUGGGGGCCGUGAAGGCUGUGACACUGCUGUCAGCGUGACAAACAGCCAUGUUUCCUUAGCCUCCCCGUGGAUGUCUGACUGGUUGGAGAAGCUAGACAUGCAAAACCAGUUCAGCCCUAACAAUGAAGUUCCCAGAAGACUAGACGGUCACCCGGCGCCUCCCGUGAUCGGACAGAAAGGAGCUGGCGGGAGUCCAGCAUUCUCGGGGUGCCUUGGUGAGUUAUGCCUGAGUGCCAUGCCACCUGCAAAUACAGGCUGCACAGUGAGGGCAUCUGGAGAUGGAAGCCUGCAGUGACCCAGCCCGUGGAGUGUGCAUUCCAGCUGUUAGGAGGGUUUGCCCUCCUGGCACCACGUUUUUCAUCACUGGCUUUGAUUACUUUGGCCUGGACUUGGAGCCCUCUGCCUCUGAAGAGCCAGCGGAGCGCCUGGCACCGCAGCUCCAUAACUAGGUGGCAGCGGUGAGUGCGUCAUUGUCCCCCCCAUGACCCAUCGUGUGCCAAGGGCCACGCCACAGGCCAGUGGGCCUUGUUGCCAAGGAACCUAACUGAAAGUUUGCAGGCCAGAGUCCUUAGGGAAAUGCUGUGCUGUUUUUGGAAGGGGACUUGUUCAAUAUACGGCCUGUAGAGAACACAGAGGGUGCUAGGAAUGCAGACAGUUUGCAACAGCCUUCCAGAAGUUUUGUGAAGACCAGACGGCCAUGCUCCUUAGAGGAACUUGUGUGUCCCGGGUCACUCGUCCUUUGAUCCUCGGUGGUUGGCAAUGGGAUGAGUAUCUGCCUGGCGCCCAGGCUCCUGUCCUUGUCCCCGAGUCACUGCUCACCGUGGCCGCCACCCUCUGGCCCUCAAGAGGUGUCAACAUGUCAUCCCAACAUCAGAACCCAGGCCUAACCGGGGCCACACAGACAUCCUGAGCUGACCACAGCGCAGCUAGGACCCCUUGUAGCUCAGGGGCCACAGCAGAGACUUACGACAGGAGGUAUGACAAGACUCGCUAGCAAGGCUUGCUGUGCAGGGCAGACCGCACCUGUCCUGCCCUGAUGGGACAGGGGACAGAGCACAGGUGGGCAGGUGACUGCCUGUCCAUCUCCCACGCUGCAGCCCCUUCCAUGUGGCUUGUCCCCACCUCUUCCUGGGAGGAGGAGGGUGUCAUGGUUGAAUUCAGCUUCUUCACAGCCUCGACCUGGGAGGCUUCUCUGGUUAUGUGGGGGGAGCCUCAUAAAGAUUGUGUCGUGUGAACUGUGGAAAUAAAUGCUGUCAGAGUUUAGUUCCCCAUCUCUGCCAUUCUAAAGGGAAAAUGUAGGAGGCUAUAGAUAUUUAAAAAGCAAGCAACCAA